AUUGAACGCUGGCGGCAGGCCUAACACAUGCAAGUCGAACGAGUGGCGGACGGGUGAGUAAUAUAUCGGAACGUGCCCGGUAGCGGGGGAUAACUCCUAGAAAGAGUGGCUAAUACCGCAUACUAUUGGAUCGGCCGAUAUCGGAUUGGCUUGUUGGUGGGGUAAAGGCUCACCAAGGCAACGAUCCCUAGCUGGUCUGAGAGGGCGACCAGCCACACGGGAACUGAGACACGGCCCAGACUCCUACGGGAGGCAGCAGUGGGGAAUUUUGGACAAUGGGGGAAACCCUGAUCCAGCCAUCCCGCGUGUAUGAGAAGGCCUUCGGGUUGUAAAGUACUUUUGGCAGAGAAGCGGUAUCUGCAGAAUAAGCACCGGCUAACUACGUGCCAGCAGCCGCGGUAAUUC
RNAcentral lists this ribosomal RNA (405 nucleotides) under uncultured bacterium. RNAcentral describes it as "partial 16S ribosomal RNA". It matches the Rfam family "Bacterial small subunit ribosomal RNA", at positions 30 to 526 of the family's 1533-position model. The record is from RNAcentral.